RNAcentral lists this transfer RNA (30 nucleotides) under Hippophae rhamnoides subsp. yunnanensis. RNAcentral's name for it is "partial tRNA-Ser". The record is from RNAcentral. Lineage: Eukaryota; Viridiplantae; Streptophyta; Magnoliopsida; Rosales; Elaeagnaceae.
GGAGAGAUGGUUGAGUGGUUGAUAGCCCCG